RNAcentral lists this long non-coding RNA (1198 nucleotides) under Ornithorhynchus anatinus (platypus). RNAcentral's name for it is "lncRNA (ENSOANG00000038078.1)". Lineage: Eukaryota; Metazoa; Chordata; Mammalia; Monotremata; Ornithorhynchidae. The record is from RNAcentral.
GGCGUAGUCUAGUCCACUCCAAAAUGCCCCGGUUCUCGCCAUGCCUCUCCCCAGCGCAACCUGACCCCGGCCAACUGAGCAGGUAUUUGGGGAGCUCUCCCCACAUGGCAUCUGGCCUGAUGUAAGGAACCUCAUUGGCUUGUAGUAGUCUGGGCAACCAUGUUUCGGUGAUGGAAGACCUAGUGCUUUGUUUGGUGCCUGGCACAUAAUAGGUGCUUGGCAAAUACCUUAGAGAAAAAAAAAAGCUGUUACCUGUCUAACCAGAAUCCCUAGACUAGCUUGCAAUUUGAUCCGCAAGUGGUGGUGAGCUUGAGCUGAUACAAAUUGUCCAUCCUGAGCUGCUCACAGCAGCCUCCUCCCUAUUUUCUAGUGGGUUCCCGGCUCAAUUUUUCGCAGCCGGAAACACCAGCCAGCCCCUUCAAAGUGGCAAACAGAACUCAUCAUUCUAGCGGAAGAACUGCUUGCAGAGAACCCUUACUUAAAAUGAGUUUCGGAAAGGCAUGCCCUGAGCAACUAUUGGAAUUUCAUUUGAAAUCUAAAACCGCACAAGCUACUCUCUAGCUUUUUACUCCUCUAACUCUGACCUCCAAGAAACAACUGUAAUUAGGUUUACAUUUGUAGACAUGCAGUACAGCAAUUAGCCAGUAAGGAUGAUUAUAGGGUUCACCUCUCCUGCUAUCAAUAGAUUGUCUUUGUUGCCACAAAACACAGAGUGAUUGUCCUGCUCUUUUUUUAUGACAUGCAAUAAUUAGAGCGCCUUAGCUAGAAUUUUCUGACUGCCACAUGCAAAGAGAUCAGAAUCGGACUGCAAUAAAGGCUCUUAUAUAGGCAACCACAAUUUCAGCGGUGUCUCUCGAUGCUGCUCUCCUGAUCUCAGUCAGUCAGUGACAUUUCUUGAUUGGCAAACGGAGUGGAAACCAACGGCAUCAAAAUACAAGUUCUGGACUUGGAAGAAGUUAGACUUGGCGGGACUUUAUGCGUCAGCCACCUUUACAGUCAUAGACCAGAGGGUCGGGAAGGCUUCUGGCCUAGCCUUCAAGAGAGGCCACAUUACCAUGGCAACUGUAUCACUCCCCUGGAUUUGAAAAGAAGGAGGAUGCCACUAAUAGCAAUGAGAGCUGGCAGAUAAAAUGACCCACCGACCCCUCACGUGGAACAUCAGCGGAGCUGCCGUUACCAGCGGUCCUCAGACACCGUC